This 919-nucleotide ribosomal RNA is filed under the name Cordyceps changbaiensis. Its description in RNAcentral is "Cordyceps sp. JH-2021b partial large subunit ribosomal RNA". It matches the Rfam family "Eukaryotic large subunit ribosomal RNA", at positions 494 to 1440 of the family's 3401-position model. Lineage: Eukaryota; Fungi; Ascomycota; Sordariomycetes; Hypocreales; Cordycipitaceae. The record is from RNAcentral.
CCAGCAUCAGUUUGGCGCGGGGGAGAAAGGCUUCGGGAAUGUGGCUCCCCCUGGGAGUGUUAUAGCCCGUUGCGCAAUACCCUGCGCUGGACUGAGGUACGCGCAUUCGCAAGGAUGCUGGCGUAAUGGUCAUCAGCGACCCGUCUUGAAACACGGACCAAGGAGUCGUCUUCGUAUGCGAGUGUUCGGGUGUCAAACCCCUACGCGUAAUGAAAGUGAACGCAGGUGAGAGCUUCGGCGCAUCAUCGACCGAUCCUGAUGUUCUCGGAUGGAUUUGAGUAAGAGCAUACGGGGCCGGACCCGAAAGAAGGUGAACUAUGCCUGUAUAGGGUGAAGCCAGAGGAAACUCUGGUGGAGGCUCGCAGCGGUUCUGACGUGCGAAUCGAUCGUCAAAUAUGGGCAUGGGGGCGAAAGACUAAUCGAACCUUCUAGUAGCUGGUUUCCGCCGAAGUUUCCCUCAGGAUAGCAGUGUUGAACUCAGUUUUAUGAGGUAAAGCGAAUGAUUAGGGACUCGGGGGCGCUAUAUUGCCUUCAUCCAUUCUCAAACUUUAAAUAUGUAAGAAGCCCUUGUUACUUGAUUGAACGUGGGCAUUCGAAUGUAUCAACACUAGUGGGCCAUUUUUGGUAAGCAGAACUGGCGAUGCGGGAUGAACCGAACGCGAGGUUAAGGUGCCGGAGUGGACGCUCAUCAGACACCACAAAAGGUGUUAGUACAUCUUGACAGCAGGACGGUGGCCAUGGAAGUCGGAAUCCGCUAAGGACUGUGUAACAACUCACCUGCCGAAUGUACUAGCCCUGAAAAUGGAUGGCGCUCAAGCGUCCCACCCAUACCUCGCCCUCAGGGUAGAAACGAAGCCCUGAGGAGUAGGCGGACGUGGAGGUCAGUGACGAAGCCUAGCGCGAGCCCGUCAUGUCUUUC